AUUGAACGCUGGCGGCAGGCCUAAAACAUGCAAGUCGAGCGGAGCGGAGGACGGGUGAGUAAUGCAUAGGAAUCUGCCUGGUAGUGGGGGAUAAAGUACGGAAACGGGCGCUAAUACCGCAUACUAUAAGAUGAGAAUGGGUCGGAUUAGCUAGUGUGUGGGGUGAAGGACUACAAAGGCGACGAUCAGUAACUGGUCUGAGAGGAUGAUCAGUCACUAGUGAACUGAGACACGGUCCAGACUCCUACGGGAGUCAGCAGUGGGGAAUAUUUGACAAUGGGCUAAAGCCUGAUCCAGCCAUGCCGCGUGUGCGAAGAAGGUCUUCGGAUUGUAAAGCACUUUAAGUUUGGAGGCGUUACCAACAGAAUAAGCACCGGCUAACUUCGUGCCAGCCGCCGCGGUAAUUC
This 407-nucleotide ribosomal RNA is filed under the name uncultured bacterium. Its description in RNAcentral is "partial 16S ribosomal RNA". It matches the Rfam family "Bacterial small subunit ribosomal RNA", at positions 30 to 526 of the family's 1533-position model. The record is from RNAcentral.